UUUGAAGCUCAGGCGAUGAAGAGGAUGAUCUUAGCUUUUAGGGUUUUAAUGGGACCAGGGACCAGAUUGGGUACAAAAUUCAGAUUUGCCACAUCAGCUAGCCGUUGCUGGCUCCAGCGUGGCAUUGGAGGUGCCAGAUCAUCCCUCCGUUUGCUGAAUUGGCGCCGGAAAGGGUUGCAGGACAACUAUGGGUCCCGGAGCUGAAUGUCAGGGAUGCUGUUAGGGAAUUUUGAAAGUCAAGGACAACUAUGG
This 252-nucleotide long non-coding RNA is filed under the name Arachis ipaensis. RNAcentral's name for it is "long non-coding RNA (AIPA_LNC001470)". Lineage: Eukaryota; Viridiplantae; Streptophyta; Magnoliopsida; Fabales; Fabaceae. The record is from RNAcentral.